AGCAGAAGCGGUUGAGCACCGUGCGGCUGCGGCAGCCCUCCUCGCCCACCGUCUGCCGCAGCGGCUGCGUCUUGCACCAGUCACUCUUGAGAUGAGGAAGCUGAGGCAUUGCGAGACUUUGUAACUAACCCAGAUUGACAGCUGCUAGUAUGUGAAAUAUUUGAAUCCUUGCUUCCUGGCUCCAGGUCCUGUCGUCGUCAGGGGAAGCAGAGCUAAAACUCAGCUCGAUUUGGGGCAAAAGCUCUUGGAGUCCACAGUACUAGAUGUGGUGAUUACCAACAUGCAUUCUUUGAACACUUGAAAACAGUUUCAGAACAUCUGGCAGGCACCUGAGCAGUUCUGCCUCAUAAGCACCUAAGGAGGAAAGCAAACCACCCAUUUUCAGGAUGGGAAAAAGAGGUGGAGGAGGCUGGAAGGCUGGGGCCAAGCGGGUGUUUCUUUCCUUCCUCCUGCACAGUGUCUCUGGCAUCUCAGUGUCAGAGUCAAUAGGCAAGAGGCAUUUUGCUGCAGUGACUGGUAGGCUGUGAUCUCUUCACUGCAAGGAUGGGAAGGCAGCUGAGCCAGCUGCUGCCCUGGCCCAUUGUCCCCUUCUAGGUGGGUGGGGUUCCCUGGGGAGAGAACCACUGGCUUCUUUCUUCAGCUCACUGACCAUCCAUGCACACAUGUCAGUGGCCCCACCAGACCCUGAUUUUAGCCUUCCAGAGUCCUCUCUGCCUUGAGUCACUUUGCUACUCAGAGAAAUGGUUGGCAUGCAGUUACCCUCUCGGGAAUGCUGCCACCCUGCCAGUACAGACAGCACAGAGGUACUGCAUUUCACCAUGUAUCUUGUGUUUGGCUUGUAUCAGAAGAAACUGGUAAAUAAGUUCUGUUGGUGUUAUCCACCAUCCUGGUGGACUGACAAAGCGGUGAAUUAGCAAGGGUGUCAGAACCGAAUAUGCUGAGAGGCUAAGCAGCCUGGGUUGGUCAAAGCAGGCUAUGCAAAGAGGUAGCGAAGUGCUUCCCCUGGGGCUCGGCCUUUGUAGAUUCCAGAACCAGGGAGUCACAGGGCAGAGCAGUCUAGUAUUGAGGCUGCUAAAAAAUAACUAGCCCCUUCUGGAAGCUCUUCUUAAGAACUUUCAGGUUCUACAAUAGGAGCUUGAGAAUAAAGCUUCCUAAUUACUAGAAAAGGAUGUAGCAGUACUGAAUCAUAUUUACCAAAAGGUCUAUGCAGAUGACCAAAGGCCAAGGGUGCACUUAAGCUGGUUAACUCACUUGCAGUGACCUUGAUGAGUUUUAGAGGUCAGGUCAAGGUGUUCUGGGCCGCGCAUAAGUGGUGAAUGAUUUGGGGCUCAAACUUUUUCUGUGACGUUAGAAUUCUAAGGCAUGUUUGGAAGGUUGAAGGCAAGCACCCAGGGCUGAAUAUGGGCAGAUACAUCUAGGAUAAACUUCCUCCCAUGGCCCAAAUGAAAACAGAAUCAAAAACAAAGAACUCCAAACAAAAGCCCCCAAAAUGCUAGAAUUCAGAGAUUAGUUUUAUGAAUUUUACUACUAGAACUCAGUAAGCAAAGGUACUUCAUCCAUGACUGGGAUUCUUAGGCUGGGAGGGAGCUCCUGAACUAGACAUAGAUAUUCCUUGGCUCGAGACUGUCCUCUUACUGUAAGACUGCCUGUCUGCUGAAGCCACUUACCUUCAGCAACUGUAAUUUGUGGCACACAGUAGCCUGGGGCCAACCCAACCUGAGGUCUGUGUGUGUAAAUACAGUUGUAUUGAACACAGCUCCGCCCAUCUUAUUUACAUUUUCUCUGGCUGCUUUUGUGGGAGGACAGAGAAGGAGAGACAGAAACGCUAUUGCCCACCACAUAAAAAACAUUUACUAUCUGGCCUUUGACAAAACCGUUUUGCCAAACCCCGUUCCAAACCCUCCCUCUCCAAACCAGUUGUUGCCUUUUUUGCCUUUGGGCUCUCUUGCUGGAAAAGGAGACAAUUUCUAACUGAAACAUUUCAAACAUAGAGCAAGAGCGAACAUAGAACAAACCCUAUACACGCACCACCAAGAUUAAACCAAUAUUAAUAUUUCCCAUCUUUACUUUGCAAUCCCUUUUAGUUUUGAAUGAAAUAAAACAAUAUAGGUGAAGCUGUUUCAUCCUCCCCUCCUUCUACCUUCAUUGAGAUGACCUGCAUUCUGAGGUUGUUAGGUAUCAUUCCCGCUGAAGAGGCUUUUACUGCUUGUUUUGUGGAUGACUGUGUGUUUGUGUGCACAUGUUUAACCUUCACCUAAAUAGUACCAUGCUCUCCUUUUGUACCAUUUUCAUCCAAAAAUAAGUGUCUGAGAUUUUAUACGUGUGCAUAUUUUUAGAAGGAGUCUCUUCAUCUCUGCUGCUGAAUACCUGGCUGAAGGGCACUUAGGUUUCUUCUCCUUUUUCCCUAUUGCCAAUAGCACUGCUCUGAACAUUUUUGCAUGUGUUUAUGUCCAUCUGUUAAGAGUGUUUCUAGAGGAGACACCGAGAAUGGAAAUGCUGGGUCAUGGAAUAUGUACAACUUGAGCUUGACUAAGUUUUGCCAAGUCACUUUCCAAGUGCUGACCAGUCUUCUCCCCGGGGUAAUAUGUGAGUCCUGGGGCUGCACAUACUUGCUCACAGCUGGUGGUACCAGACUUAUUACUUUUUGCCUAUCUGAAAAAAUUGGAAUGGCAUCUUAUUAUUUCAAUUUGCACACUUCUGAUUACAAGAGAGUUGAUCACCAAGCUGAAAUGCAGUAGUUGUACUCUGAAAAGGAAAGAAGGCAACUUAUUCUAAGUAGAAGAGAGGAAUUAAAAUAUCAGGGAAAGAAAAAUAAGUACUAACUAUGUAUCUUCUGAACUGUCAUGAGAAGGAUAGGAAGUAGCUUGCAGUUUCAAAGCAGAGCUAUCAGGGCAUCCCACAUGACUCAGAGUUUAAAAUCCAAAUGUAUUCACUUACUUUUCCAAGUGACAUUUGCCUGAAUGGAACACUGACUAUCAUUUUGUUCCAGGAGAUGUUUAAUUUCAUCUGGAAAAAUCAUAUUAUGUUUUUAGAAAAGGUUUUCAACCAAAGAAGAAAUGAUACUGUCGUUACUUUGACUUCUGGAUAGCAAGCGUAUCAUUUGCAGGGUUCUUAAUCUUUGAAGAAAUUGUUUGGUUAAACUCAGUCUGAGAAACGUAGCACUGAGGCAAGAUGGGAGCAAAGCAUUAUGGUUAAUAAGAAUGGGUGAGAAAGUGCCUUGAGAGGUGUGAGCUUACACACGCAUGGCUGCUUUUCUCUAGAGCAGGCCCUCUGGGAGUGGGAGUGAGAAUGUGGUUUCUGGGGCUGGAGCUGCCCAUCUCGUGACCCUGCAUGACUCACUCCCAGGCUUCUCUGGGUUCCCCUCUGUAAAAUGGUGUUAAUGGCACUUACUACCCCCUGUUCUGAGUUGCUGUUAUGAGGAAUGUGGCACUGAGAUCAAGUCAUAGUCCAAGAACGCUCUGAGCAAAAGGAACCUUGAGUUCUUUUGAGAGGAAGGAAGAAAUUACGAGCGAUCCAUUAAGGAUUUUAUAGCCGGUAACAUUGUUCUCUGCUGCCGUGAGGUAGAACCUUUGACUUUUUUCAGGUGAAGAUGGUAGGCUGUUGCUCAAGGGACCCAUCCUGCUGCAGUGAGUCUGCACUGCCCACCCCACCUCCUCCCCUCCUGGGGCAGCCUUACAUGUUAAGGAUGAGCUUCUCAGACAGCAGACUUCUCCUCCGCAGUGGGCUAUAUAGAUUUUCUGUCUGAGUGUACAUGAAAACUAGAGUGGUCUGUCUCCAGGGCUGUAAACAAAACCAAAAACCCCGGCACUCAGCCCUUUCCAAUCAUGCCCCAUUCAGGCUUGUUCUUCAUUUUGCUCGGUGUGCAUAGGAAUGGUGACAAAACUGUGUGCCCACUUUUUACCAAUUCUGGAAUUCAUGACCAAAGUGUUCUUUCUUCUUUCUCUUUAGUCUUUCAAUCUCUUCUGAUUUUUCUUUCUCUGGCUUCUUCUUAAAGGUUGGUGUUCCCCGGGGGCCCUUCCAUAAUCCCAUUUUCUCAUUCCUCACAUUCCUACUAAGGAUUUCAUUUGUGCCUCUCACUUCGGCCACCGGCUAUCUGCUCAUGACUCCCAGACCCUUUGCCCAGCUGCCUACCGAACACUUUUGGAUGUCCUCUAGGCACCUCAAACUCCAUGCAUUCCAAAUCUCAUUUUCUUCUCUUCAGACAGUUCCUAUCCCAGUGAACAGCACAUUUAUCCUUGCACCCACCCUGGGGAGCUGAGCUAAGGCAGACCCUGUUACCUUACUACCCGAGUCCCAAAGUUCUCUUUCCUCUUUGCUAAAAGAGGCACAAUUUUGUUUGGAUAUUGGAGUCCAACUUCUUUAUGGGUGCUUCUUGAUACCAUGAGUGGGACUUGAUUGGUCCGAGCCAAUGACUUGACAAGAUGUAAGGAAUAGCUUCCUGGGAAAGAUGUUGACUCUCCCAUAAAAAGAGACAAGCCAGGAGAAAAUAUUGUUCCGGCUUUUGGUUGUGGUUAUGCAGGUGCUUGAUGUCAGGCAACGACAGCCGCCAUAAGGGUACAAGCAUGGGAUGAAAGUCAGGUUUUUGCAGUAUAAACCACAACAUGGAAGACAACUGGAUUCGUGAUUAUAUUGUUAAGCCAUUGAAUUAACCAUCCCUAGGAUGGCUUAUCUCUGACCUUCAUGUUUGUGAGUUAGCAAAUUCUUCAGUAUUUAAAUUGCUUUUAUUUGGAUACUGGAGAGCAUUCUACUUUAUCCUCUCAUAUAUUAAACCCAUUAGCAAGAACUUAACUAUCCCUCCUGCCUCACUGCCCAGCCCCACUGUUACUACUUUGGGUUAGGUCCUUACCACUUGAGUAUCACAAGCCUCCUUGUGAGCCUAUAAAUGUGUACUGUUACUUCUUUUGGCUGAAACCUUGUUUUGUGACUACUGCUGGGUAUUUUCAGUUUCAUUCAAAUGCCACGUCCUCUGUGAGAGCAAGCAUGUUCCCUGUGGUUUUCACUUCUGCCAUCGUCAUGCCUGGCUCCUUACAUCUGGUAGGCCACCAUGUGGCUGUUGUCGGCACGUCCCCCCAGGGGGACGUUACUGUAAGGCAGGCUAUUCAAUCUUCUUCCCACCUUGUCUUAUGAUAGGUCUGGAAAAUAGCUUUGAAUUCUAUGUCUGAAGGAAUAAAUGGAAGACUGGAUGAUCAAAUAGAUUUUACCUACACUGGUAUUAAUGUGAAUUUU
Molecule: long non-coding RNA, 5226 nt
Organism: Manis javanica (Malayan pangolin)
Lineage: Eukaryota; Metazoa; Chordata; Mammalia; Pholidota; Manidae
Source: RefSeq, a predicted model, not a curated record